AGUGUUCUAACACUGUGUAUAAGGUGUUAAUGAAGUGUUGUGUAAGGUGUUAAGUGUUCUAACACUGUAUGUAAUGUGAUAAUGGAGUGUUCUAACAAUGUGUAUAAGGUGAUAAUGGAGUGUUCUAACACUGUGUAUAAUGUGAUAAUGGAGUGUUCUAACACUGUGUAUACGGUGAUAAUGGAGUGUUCUAACACUGUGUAUACGGUGAUAAUGGAGUGUUCUAACACUGUGUAUAAUGUGAUAAUGGAGUGUUCUAACACUGUGUAUAAUGUGAUAAUGGAGUGUUCUAACACUGUAUAAGGUGAUAAUGGAGUGUUCUAACACUGUGUAUAAGGUGAUAAUGGAGUGUUCUAACACUGUGUAUAAUGUGAUAAUGGAGCGUUCUAACACUGUGUAU
Oncorhynchus mykiss (rainbow trout) is the source of this 400-nucleotide non-coding RNA. Lineage: Eukaryota; Metazoa; Chordata; Actinopteri; Salmoniformes; Salmonidae. The record is from RefSeq and is a predicted model, not a curated record.